RNAcentral lists this ribosomal RNA (431 nucleotides) under uncultured bacterium. RNAcentral's name for it is "partial 16S ribosomal RNA". It matches the Rfam family "Bacterial small subunit ribosomal RNA", at positions 29 to 507 of the family's 1533-position model. The record is from RNAcentral.
AACGAACGCUGGCGGCAGGCCUAACACAUGCAAGUCGAGCGCCCCGCCAGGGGAGCGGCGGACGGGUGAGUAACGCGUGGGAAUAUGCCCUUUGCUACGGAAUAGUCUCGGGAAACUGGGGGUAAUACCGUAUACGCCCUUUGGGGGAAAGAUUUAUCGGCGAAGCAUUAGCCCGCGUUGGAUUAGGUAGUUGGUGGGGUAAUGGCCUACCAAGCCGACGAUCCAUAGCUGGUUUGAGAGGAUGAUCAGCCACACUGGGACUGAGACACGGCCCAGACUCCUACGGGAGGCAGCAGUGGGGAAUCUUAGACAAUGGGGGCAACCCUGAUCUAGCCAUGCCGCGUGAGUGAUGAAGGCCUUAGGGUUGUAAAGCUCUUUCAGCUGGGAAGAUAAUGACGGUACCAGCAGAAGAAGCCCCGGCUAACUCCGUG